AGCAAUCUGAUGUCGAUAGGGAACAUGUAAAACUUUAGCUUACCCACGAGCUACCUUUUCCCGAACAAAGUGAAUGUCGUGGGCAAGUUAAAGUUUUACAUGUUCCCUCUCGACAUCAGAUUGCU
Molecule: microRNA precursor, 125 nt
Filed under: Beta vulgaris subsp. vulgaris (sugar beet)
Lineage: Eukaryota; Viridiplantae; Streptophyta; Magnoliopsida; Caryophyllales; Amaranthaceae
Description: pre miRNA MIR164
Source: RNAcentral